AUUUAGAAACAAGGUUCGUUUACCCCGACACCGCUGUUACCACCACUGUCAACGCGAAGGUGGUGUCCAAUGAGCAUUCCCAAUAUAUGUCUGCCGAGGGACUAAACGAAGCAACCAGCCAGCGUCUAAGCGCCAACAAAUGAACCAUAAAAUCCAAACGUGCCGGGGAAAACAGAGCGGAUAGCGCUCCGUGUUGUCUAAGCCAAAGUGGCUAACACGUUGCCCAAAUUGAAUGAACACACACAUACACACACACACAGCCAGCUAGCCAGGUGUGUGGACUGACUGGUCUGUCUUGGCCUGGCCUGUAUGUUAAGUCAGCCAGUCAGCCAGUCAGCCAAACAGUCCAGGCCAAUUCCCAAAUCGAUAAUCAAUAUGGCGAGCCGGCAGAGGAACCCACCCACGCUGGCACGCUUCAUUUUCCACCGGCUGGUAAUAAAGCCGUCAAAAAGGCAAAAGGUGUUGAAAGGAUCCACGAAAUAUGGCUAAGGUGGGAAUAGUUGCAGCCACCACCAUCGCCGCCAAUCAGAGCCAACUAACCCAAUGUGAAUAUUUGUGACUCUCUUUGGGUAAUUGACGAUGGUCCGGCACCUGACCAGACGGAAUAACAGCACUCAGACUCAGGGCUGUGACCAGACCAGACCAGGUUGAAUAAUUCAGUGGAAUGGCAUUGGAAUGUAUCGGAAUUAAGGCAAAGGACACGUAGAACCAAUCAAUUGCAGCUGAGGAAUGUUUCUGUUUCUGGGACAGGUUUAAUGCACUUUUAAUAAUAAGGAGCAGUCGCUAAAACCUCUUGGAAUCCAAUGCCAAUAUUUGUUGAGAACUUGUGUUCCCUGCCCACUUCCAUUCAAGAUGACACUCUUUUCUCAAGCUAAAUAAUCAAC
Drosophila melanogaster (fruit fly) is the source of this 884-nucleotide non-coding RNA. Lineage: Eukaryota; Metazoa; Arthropoda; Insecta; Diptera; Drosophilidae. The record is from Ensembl.